RNAcentral lists this ribosomal RNA (497 nucleotides) under uncultured bacterium. Its description in RNAcentral is "partial 16S ribosomal RNA". It matches the Rfam family "Bacterial small subunit ribosomal RNA", at positions 28 to 507 of the family's 1533-position model. The record is from RNAcentral.
GACGAACGCUGGCGGCGUGCCUAAUACAUGCAAGUAGAACGCUGAAGAGAGGAGCUUCCUCUUCUUGGAUGAGUUGCGAACGGGUGAGUAACGCGUAGGUAACCUGCCUUGUAGCGGGGGAUAACUAUUGGAAACGAUAGCUAAUACCGCAUAACAAUGGAUGACACAUGUCAUUUAUUUGAAAGGGGCAAUUGCUCCACUACAAGAUGGACCUGCGUUGUAUUAGCUAGUAGGUGAGGUAAUGGCUCACCUAGGCGACGAUACAUAGCCGACCUGAGAGGGUGAUCGGCCAAACUGGGACUGGGACACGGCCCAGACUCCUACGGGAGGCAGCAGUAGGGAAUCUUCGGCAAUGGGGGCAACCCUGACCGAGCAACGCCGCGUGAGUGAAGAAGGUUGUCGGAUCGGAAAGCUCUGUUGUAAGUCAAGAACGGGUGUGAGAGUGGAAAGUUCACACUGUGACGGUAGCUUACCAGAAAGGGACGGCUAACUACGUG